RNAcentral lists this ribosomal RNA (3024 nucleotides) under Bacillus cereus. RNAcentral describes it as "23S ribosomal RNA". It matches the Rfam family "Bacterial large subunit ribosomal RNA". Lineage: Bacteria; Bacillati; Bacillota; Bacilli; Caryophanales; Bacillaceae. The record is from RNAcentral.
UUUGGUUAAGUUAGAAAGGGCGCACGGUGGAUGCCUUGACACUAGGAGUCGAUGAAGGACGGGACUAACGCCGAUAUGCUUCGGGGAGCUGUAAGUAAGCUUUGAUCCGAAGAUUUCCGAAUGGGGAAACCCACCAUACGUAAUGGUAUGGUAUCCUUAUCUGAAUACAUAGGGUAAGGAAGACAGACCCAGGGAACUGAAACAUCUAAGUACCUGGAGGAAGAGAAAGCAAAUGCGAUUUCCUGAGUAGCGGCGAGCGAAACGGAACAUAGCCCAAACCAAGAGGCUUGCCUCUUGGGGUUGUAGGACAUUCUAUACGGAGUUACAAAGGAACGAGGUAGACGAAGCGACCUGGAAAGGUCCGUCGUAGAGGGUAACAACCCCGUAGUCGAAACUUCGUUCUCUCUUGAAUGUAUCCUGAGUACGGCGGAACACGUGAAAUUCCGUCGGAAUCUGGGAGGACCAUCUCCCAAGGCUAAAUACUCCCUAGUGAUCGAUAGUGAACCAGUACCGUGAGGGAAAGGUGAAAAGCACCCCGGAAGGGGAGUGAAAGAGAUCCUGAAACCGUGUGCCUACAAAUAGUCAGAGCCCGUUAACGGGUGAUGGCGUGCCUUUUGUAGAAUGAACCGGCGAGUUACGAUCCCGUGCGAGGUUAAGCUGAAGAGGCGGAGCCGCAGCGAAAGCGAGUCUGAAUAGGGCGUUUAGUACGUGGUCGUAGACCCGAAACCAGGUGAUCUACCCAUGUCCAGGGUGAAGUUCAGGUAACACUGAAUGGAGGCCCGAACCCACGCACGUUGAAAAGUGCGGGGAUGAGGUGUGGGUAGCGGAGAAAUUCCAAUCGAACCUGGAGAUAGCUGGUUCUCCCCGAAAUAGCUUUAGGGCUAGCCUUAAGUGUAAGAGUCUUGGAGGUAGAGCACUGAUUGGACUAGGGGUCCUCAUCGGAUUACCGAAUUCAGUCAAACUCCGAAUGCCAAUGACUUAUCCUUAGGAGUCAGACUGCGAGUGAUAAGAUCCGUAGUCAAAAGGGAAACAGCCCAGACCGCCAGCUAAGGUCCCAAAGUGUGUAUUAAGUGGAAAAGGAUGUGGAGUUGCUUAGACAACUAGGAUGUUGGCUUAGAAGCAGCCACCAUUUAAAGAGUGCGUAAUAGCUCACUAGUCGAGUGACUCUGCGCCGAAAAUGUACCGGGGCUAAAUACACCACCGAAGCUGCGGAUUGAUACCAAUGGUAUCAGUGGUAGGGGAGCGUUCUAAGGACAGUGAAGUCAGACCGGAAGGACUGGUGGAGUGCUUAGAAGUGAGAAUGCCGGUAUGAGUAGCGAAAGACGGGUGAGAAUCCCGUCCACCGAAUGCCUAAGGUUUCCUGAGGAAGGCUCGUCCGCUCAGGGUUAGUCAGGACCUAAGCCGAGGCCGACAGGCGUAGGCGAUGGACAACAGGUUGAUAUUCCUGUACCACCUCUUUAUCGUUUGAGCAAUGGAGGGACGCAGAAGGAUAGAAGAAGCGUGCGAUUGGUUGUGCACGUCCAAGCAGUUAGGCUGAUAAGUAGGCAAAUCCGCUUAUCGUANNNNNNNNNNNNNNNNNNNNNNNNNNNNNNNNNNNNNNNNNNNNNNNNNNNNNNNNNNNNNNNNNNNNNNNNNNNNNNNNNNNNNNNNNNNNNNNNGGGCUGAGCUGUGAUGGGGAAGCUCCUUAUGGAGCGAAGUCUUUGAUUCCCCGCUGCCAAGAAAAGCUUCUAGCGAGAUAAAAGGUGCCUGUACCGCAAACCGACACAGGUAGGCGAGGAGAGAAUCCUAAGGUGUGCGAGAGAACUCUGGUUAAGGAACUCGGCAAAAUGACCCCGUAACUUCGGGAGAAGGGGUGCUUUCUUAACGGAAAGCCGCAGUGAAUAGGCCCAAGCGACUGUUUAGCAAAAACACAGCUCUCUGCGAAGCCGUAAGGCGAAGUAUAGGGGGUGACACCUGCCCGGUGCUGGAAGGUUAAGGAGAGGGGUUAGCGUAAGCGAAGCUCUGAACUGAAGCCCCAGUAAACGGCGGCCGUAACUAUAACGGUCCUAAGGUAGCGAAAUUCCUUGUCGGGUAAGUUCCGACCCGCACGAAAGGUGUAACGAUUUGGGCACUGUCUCAACCAGAGACUCGGUGAAAUUAUAGUACCUGUGAAGAUGCAGGUUACCCGCGACAGGACGGAAAGACCCCGUGGAGCUUUACUGUAGCCUGAUAUUGAAUUUUGGUACAGUUUGUACAGGAUAGGCGGGAGCCAUUGAAACCGGAGCGCUAGCUUCGGUGGAGGCGCUGGUGGGAUACCGCCCUGACUGUAUUGAAAUUCUAACCUACGGGUCUUAUCGACCCGGGAGACAGUGUCAGGUGGGCAGUUUGACUGGGGCGGUCGCCUCCUAAAGUGUAACGGAGGCGCCCAAAGGUUCCCUCAGAAUGGUUGGAAAUCAUUCGUAGAGUGCAAAGGCAUAAGGGAGCUUGACUGCGAGACCUACAAGUCGAGCAGGGACGAAAGUCGGGCUUAGUGAUCCGGUGGUUCCGCAUGGAAGGGCCAUCGCUCAACGGAUAAAAGCUACCCCGGGGAUAACAGGCUUAUCUCCCCCAAGAGUCCACAUCGACGGGGAGGUUUGGCACCUCGAUGUCGGCUCAUCGCAUCCUGGGGCUGUAGUCGGUCCCAAGGGUUGGGCUGUUCGCCCAUUAAAGCGGUACGCGAGCUGGGUUCAGAACGUCGUGAGACAGUUCGGUCCCUAUCCGUCGUGGGCGUAGGAAAUUUGAGAGGAGCUGUCCUUAGUACGAGAGGACCGGGAUGGACGCACCGCUGGUGUACCAGUUGUUCUGCCAAGGGCAUAGCUGGGUAGCUAUGUGCGGAAGGGAUAAGUGCUGAAAGCAUCUAAGCAUGAAGCCCCCCUCAAGAUGAGAUUUCCCAUAGCGUAAGCUAGUAAGAUCCCUGAAAGAUGAUCAGGUUGAUAGGUUCGAGGUGGAAGCAUGGUGACAUGUGGAGCUGACGAAUACUAAUAGAUCGAGGACUUAACCAUAUAA